AUUAGCUCAGUAGGCAGAGCGCCCGGCUUUUAACCGUGUGGUCGUGGGUUCGAGCCCCACA
This 61-nucleotide transfer RNA is filed under the name Cyclophora tenuis. It matches the Rfam family "tRNA", at positions 7 to 64 of the family's 71-position model. From Rfam's summary of the family: Transfer RNA (tRNA) molecules are approximately 80 nucleotides in length. Their secondary structure includes four short double-helical elements and three loops (D, anti-codon, and T loops). Lineage: Eukaryota; Bacillariophyta; Fragilariophyceae; Cyclophorales; Cyclophoraceae. The record is from RNAcentral.